GUCGACGCUGAAGCUCCAGCUUGCUGGGGUGGAUGAGUGGCGAACGGGUGAGUUUUACGUGAGUAACCUGCCCUUGACUCUGGGAUAAGCCUGGGAAACCGGGUCUAAUACUGGAUACGACUCCUCAUCGCAUGGUGGGGUGUGGAAAGGGUUUUACUGGUUUUGGAUGGGCUCACGGCCUAUCAGCUUGUUGGUGGGGUAAUGGCCUACCAAGGCGACGACGGGUAGCCGGCCUGAGAGGGUGACCGGCCACACUGGGACUGAGACACGGCCCAGACUCCUACGGGAGGCAGCAGUGGGGAAUAUUGCACAAUGGGCGCAAGCCUGAUGCAGCGACGCCGCGUGAGGGAUGACGGCCUUCGGGUUGUAAACCUCUUUCAGCAGGGAAGAAGCCACAAGUGACGGUACCUGCAGAAGAAGCGCCGGCUAACUACGUGCCAGCAGCCGCGGUAAUACGUAGGGCGCAAGCGUUGUCCGGAAUUAUUGGGCGUAAAGAGCUCGUAGGCGGUUUGUCGCGUCUGCUGUGAAAGCCCGGGGCUCAACCCCGGGUCUGCAGUGGGUACGGGCAGACUAGAGUGCAGUAGGGGAGACUGGAAUUCCUGGUGUAGCGGUGAAAUGCGCAGAUAUCAGGAGGAACACCGAUGGCGAAGGCAGGUCUCUGGGCUGUUACUGACGCUGAGGAGCGAAAGCAUGGGGAGCGAACAGGAUUAGAUA
This 714-nucleotide ribosomal RNA is filed under the name Kocuria sp. MJS27. RNAcentral describes it as "bacterial SSU rRNA". It matches the Rfam family "Bacterial small subunit ribosomal RNA", at positions 61 to 784 of the family's 1533-position model. Lineage: Bacteria; Bacillati; Actinomycetota; Actinomycetes; Micrococcales; Micrococcaceae. The record is from RNAcentral.